GCCAUCAUUAAGUUGGGCACUCCAGCGAGACUGCCGGUGACAAACCGGAGGAAGGUGGGGAUGACGUCAAAUCAUCAUGCCCCUUAUGACCUGGGCUACACACGUGCUACAAUGGACAGUACAAUGAGCAGCGACACGGCGACGUGAAGCGAAUCUCAUAAAGCUGUUCUCAGUUCGGAUUGUAGGCUGCAACUCGCCUACAUGAAGCCGGAAUCGCUUGUAAUCGCGGAUCAGCACGCCGCGGUGAAUACGUUCCCGGGCCUUGUACACACCGCCCGUCACACCACGAAAGUUUGUAACACCCGAAGUCGGUGAGGUAACCGCAAGGAGCCAACCGCCUAAGGUGGGAUAGAUGAUUGGGGUGAAGUCGUAACAAGGUAACCAAGGGCGAAUUCUG
This 397-nucleotide ribosomal RNA is filed under the name uncultured Vagococcus sp. RNAcentral's name for it is "bacterial SSU rRNA". It matches the Rfam family "Bacterial small subunit ribosomal RNA", at positions 1117 to 1515 of the family's 1533-position model. Lineage: Bacteria; Bacillati; Bacillota; Bacilli; Lactobacillales; Enterococcaceae. The record is from RNAcentral.